ACACACCAUCGCAAAAAUGCGUAGAAAAUUGCACCAAUACAUGCGCAAAAGCAGCAAGAUUUCCUUCCGGUUAAGAUCCGAAUAGACAUUAUUCGGAGAAAUUGAGUGGCGGGUGAGCGAAUUUUCCGAGCGGGGCGAGCUUGUGGGUUGCAAUUACGCGGAGCGGGAAGGCCGGCAAGGGCAGAAGGACGAAGCGAACGCGAGCGUGUUCAAGACGGACGGUAGCGCGAAAGGAAGAGGAAUAGAAAAAAGAGACGGAGCAACCUCGAGCAAAAUUCGGUCCCGAUCGCGGCCAGUCGGAAAUUUUUUAAGUCCCUGGACGCACGCUCUCCGCUGGCGGCAAAGUGCAAGUGCAGAAAAGUGUUAGAAAAGUGAUUACUGUAGGCGUUGACUGCAAUGCGCGCGCAAGCACCCAACAUCAGGCCGAGCAGGAACGCUCUUGAUCGCAGCCCGGAUCACGCCACCACCACGACGACAUCAAGCAGCGAAGAGUACGACGCCACCACCACCAACAGCAACGCAGAGAAAUGACGUCACAAAAUGAUGACGUCAUACAUGUGGGACGUCAGCAAGAAGGGGCAAAUCGAGAAAUAGAAAAACAAACGCCACCGCCAUUGCGCUAUGGCUGAUCGACCAA
Long non-coding RNA from Anopheles aquasalis, 637 nucleotides. RefSeq lists it as uncharacterized. NCBI's taxonomy places the organism in Eukaryota, Metazoa, Arthropoda, Insecta, Diptera, Culicidae. The record is from RefSeq and is a predicted model, not a curated record.